AACGAACGCUGGCGGCAUGCCUAACACAUGCAAGUCGAACGAGACCUUCGGGUCUAGUGGCGCACGGGUGCGUAACGCGUGGGAACCUGCCCUUAGGUUCGGAAUAACUCCCCGAAAGGGGUGCUAAUACCGGAUAAUGUCUUCGGACCAAAGAUUUAUCGCCUUUGGAUGGGCCCUCGUUGGAUUAGCUAGUUGGUAGGGUAAAAGCCUACCAAGGCGACGAUCCAUAGCUGGUCUGAGAGGAUGCUCAGCCACACUGGGACUGAGACACGGCCCAGACUCCUACGGGAGGCAGCAGUGGGGAAUAUUGGACAAGGGGCGAAAGCCUGAUCCAGCCAUGCCGCGUGAGUGAUGAAGGCCUUAGGGUUGUAAAGCUCUUUUACCCGGGAUGAUAAUGACAGUACCGGGAGAAUAAGCUCCGGCUAACUACGUG
Molecule: ribosomal RNA, 433 nt
Filed under: uncultured bacterium
Lineage: Bacteria
Description: partial 16S ribosomal RNA
Rfam family: Bacterial small subunit ribosomal RNA
Source: RNAcentral